GCCAGACUCCUACGGGAGGCAGCAGUGGGGGAUAUUGCACAAUGGGGGAAACCCUGAUGCAGCGACGCCGCGUGAGUGAAGAAGUAUUUCGGUAUGUAAAGCUCUAUCAGCAGGGAAGAAGAUGACAGUACCUGAGUAAGAAGCCCCGGCUAACUACGUGCCAGCAGCCGCGGUAAUACGUAGGUGGCGAGCGUUGUCCGGAAUUACUGGGUGUAAAGGGAGCGUAGGCGGGAGAGCAAGUCGACUGUGAAAUCUAUGGGCUUAACCCAUAGCUGCGAUCGAAACUGUUCAUCUUGAGUGAAGUAGAGGCAGGCGGAAUUCCUAGUGUAGCGGUGAAAUGCGUAGAUAUUAGGAGGAACACCAGUGGCGAAGGCGGUCUGCUGGACAGCAACUGACGGUGAGGCGCGAAAGCGUGGGGAGCAAGCAGGAUUAGAUACCCGCGUAU
RNAcentral lists this ribosomal RNA (445 nucleotides) under uncultured bacterium. RNAcentral describes it as "bacterial SSU rRNA". It matches the Rfam family "Bacterial small subunit ribosomal RNA", at positions 330 to 793 of the family's 1533-position model. The record is from RNAcentral.